This 253-nucleotide ribosomal RNA is filed under the name uncultured bacterium. RNAcentral describes it as "partial 16S ribosomal RNA". It matches the Rfam family "Bacterial small subunit ribosomal RNA", at positions 524 to 776 of the family's 1533-position model. The record is from RNAcentral.
UACAGAGGUGUCAAGCGUUGCUCGGUGUCACUGGGCUUAAAGGGCGCGUAGGCUGUGCAGUACGGCUCGGGUGAAAUCCCUCGGCCCAACCGAGGAACCGCCCGGGCGACGGCUGUGCUGGACUGCAUCAGGGGCGGAUGGAACUCCCGGUGGAGCGGUGAAAUGCUUAGAUAUCGUCAAGAACACCUAUAGCGAAGGCAGCUUACUAGGCUCUAACUGACACUGAGGCACGAAAGUGUGGGGAUCAAACAGG